Molecule: ribosomal RNA, 713 nt
Filed under: uncultured bacterium
Lineage: Bacteria
Description: bacterial SSU rRNA
Rfam family: Bacterial small subunit ribosomal RNA
Source: RNAcentral
UCGCACGAGAAAGUGGAGUAAUCCAUGAGUACAGUGGCGUACGGGUGAGUAACACGCUGGAUUAUCUACCUCUUAGUGGGGAAUAACCCUGGGAAACCGGGGCUAAUACCGCAUAAGCUCGAGAGAGGAAAGCAGCAAUGCGCUGAGAGAGGAGUCCGCGGCCGAUUAGCUAGUUGGUAGGGUAAAAGCCUACCAAGGCAUAGAUCGGUAGCCGGCCUGAGAGGGCACACGGCCACACUGGCACUGAAACACGGGCCAGACUCCUACGGGAGGCAGCAGUGGGGAAUCUUGCACAAUGGGGGCAACCCUGAUGCAGCGACGCCGCGUGAGCGAUGAAGCCCUUCGGGGUGUAAAGCUCUUUCGGCAGUGAAGAUUAUGACGGUACCUGCAGAAGCAGCUGCGGCUAACUACGUGCCAGCAGCCGCGGUAAUACGUAGGCAGCGAGCGUUGUUCGAAGUUACUGGGCGUAAAGGGUGUGUAGGCGGUUGUUUAAGUUUGGUGUGAAAUCUCCCGGCUUAACUGGGAGGGUGCGCCGAAUACUGAAUGACUAGAGUGCGGGAGAGGUGAGUGGAAUUCCUGGUGUAGCGGUGAAAUGCGUAGAUAUCAGGAGGAACACCGGCGGUGUAGACGGCUCACUGGACCGUAACUGACGCUGAGACACGAAAGCGUGGGUAGCAAACAGGAUUAGAUACCCUGGUUAGUCCACGCCCCUA